Sapajus apella (tufted capuchin) is the source of this 262-nucleotide long non-coding RNA. RefSeq lists it as uncharacterized. Lineage: Eukaryota; Metazoa; Chordata; Mammalia; Primates; Cebidae. The transcript has 3 exons. The record is from RefSeq and is a predicted model, not a curated record.
UUUGUUUUGAUUUGUAUUCCUCUGAUGGUUAGUGAUGUAGGGCAUUUGUCAUAUGUUUGCUGGCUGCUUUUAAGUCUUCCUUUGAGAACUGUCUCUCCAUGUCCUCUGCUCACUUUUGAGUUCGUUUUUUCACUUUUGAAUUGUUUAAAUUCCUUAUGGCUUCUGGAUAUUCAACUUCUGUCAGAUGCAUAAUCUGUGAAUAUCUCCUCCCAUUCUGUAGGUUAUCUGUUUACUUUGUUGAUAAUUGCUUUUGCUUUUGGAG